UUACUCUGGUUUCCCUUCGACACGUAUUAAUCUUUCGCCUUUUACUAAAGAUUACCGUGGAGGGGAAUUACUCAAAUGAGUAUCAGAUAUUUUUGGAGAACCCAGUGAAAGCUGGGUC
This is a small nuclear RNA of Microplitis mediator, 118 nucleotides long. RefSeq annotates it as U5 spliceosomal RNA. Lineage: Eukaryota; Metazoa; Arthropoda; Insecta; Hymenoptera; Braconidae. The record is from RefSeq and is a predicted model, not a curated record. The transcript has a single exon.